This 144-nucleotide ribosomal RNA is filed under the name Klebsiella pneumoniae subsp. pneumoniae KPNIH4. RNAcentral's name for it is "partial 16S ribosomal RNA". It matches the Rfam family "Bacterial small subunit ribosomal RNA", at positions 1 to 136 of the family's 1533-position model. The record is from RNAcentral. Lineage: Bacteria; Pseudomonadati; Pseudomonadota; Gammaproteobacteria; Enterobacterales; Enterobacteriaceae.
ACUUAAAUUGAAGAGUUUGAUCAUGGCUCAGAUUGAACGCUGGCGGCAGGCCUAACACAUGCAAGUCGAGCGGUAGCACAGAGAGCUUGCUCUCGGGUGACGAGCGGCGGACGGGUGAGUAAUGUCUGGGAAACUGCCUGAUGG